GUAGUAUUCCCUCCGUCCCAAAAUUCUUGUCUUACAUUUGUUUAGAUACGGAUGUAUCUAACACUAAAAUGUAACUAGAUACAUCCGUAUUUAGACAAAUUUAAGACAAGAAUUUUGGGACAGAGGGAGUGCAAA
Triticum aestivum (bread wheat) is the source of this 135-nucleotide non-coding RNA. Lineage: Eukaryota; Viridiplantae; Streptophyta; Magnoliopsida; Poales; Poaceae. The record is from Rfam.